AUUGAACGCUGGCGGCAGGCCUAACACAUGCAAGUCGAACGAGUGGCGGACGGGUGAGUAAUGUCUGGGAAACUGCCUGAUGGCGGGGGAUAACUACUGGAAACGGUAGCUAAUACCGCAUACCAUCGGAUGUGCCCAUAUGGGAUUAGCUAGUAGGUGGGGUAACGGCUCACCUAGGCGACGAUCCCUAGCUGGUCUGAGAGGAUGACCAGCCACACUGGAACUGAGACACGGUCCAGACUCCUACGGUAGGCAGCAGUGGGGAAUAUUGCAAAAGGGGCGCAAGCCUGAUGCAGCCAUGACGCGUGUAGGAAGAAGGCCUUCGGGUGGUAAAGUACUUGCAGCGGGGAGGCGUUACCCGCAGAAGAAGCACCGGCUAACUCCGUGACAGCAGCCGCGGUAAUUC
RNAcentral lists this ribosomal RNA (406 nucleotides) under uncultured bacterium. Its description in RNAcentral is "partial 16S ribosomal RNA". It matches the Rfam family "Bacterial small subunit ribosomal RNA", at positions 30 to 526 of the family's 1533-position model. The record is from RNAcentral.